GAUGAAGAACGUAGCGAAAUGCGAUAAGUAAUGUGAAUUGCAGAAUUCAGUGAAUCAUCGAAUCUUUGAACGCACCUUGCACUCCUUGGUAUUCCGAGGAGUACGCCUGUUCGAGUGUUAUGAAGCUCUCAAAACGCAAUUGGCUUAAAACCUGAUUGUUGUUUUGGAUUUGAACUUUGCCGUGUUAUAACGGCUGGUUUUAAAAGUAUUAGCUGGUACUAGAACGAAUUGGUUCUACUCAACGUGAUAAUUAUCUGAUCGUUGAGUACAUUCCUUUCACGAGUAAUGGCCAUAGUAAAUUCAAUAGACUGCUUCUAAUCUGGCUUUAAUUCUUUAUUGGAUUAACCACUUUUCAAAUCUGACCUCGAAUCAGGUGGGACUACCCGCUGAACUUAAGCAUAUCAAUAAGCGGAGGA
RNAcentral lists this unclassified non-coding RNA (416 nucleotides) under soil metagenome. RNAcentral describes it as "partial contains 5.8S ribosomal RNA, internal transcribed spacer 2, and large subunit ribosomal RNA". The stretch from base 1 to 120 matches the Rfam family "5.8S ribosomal RNA", at positions 35 to 154 of the family's 154-position model. The record is from RNAcentral.